GACGGAGGAUGCAAGCGUUAUCCGGAAUGAUUGGGCGUAAAGCGUCCGCAGGUGGCAGUUCAAGUCUGCUGUCAAAGACCGGGGCUUAACUUCGGAAAGGCAGUGGAAACUGAACAGCUAGAGUAUGGUAGGGGCAGAGGGAAUUCCUGGUGUAGCGGUGAAAUGCGUAGAGAUCAGGAGGAACACCUAUGGCGAAAGCAGGUUUCUGGACCAUCACUGACGCUGAUCUGCGAAAGCUAGGGGAGCAAACAGG
Molecule: ribosomal RNA, 253 nt
Filed under: uncultured bacterium
Lineage: Bacteria
Description: partial 16S ribosomal RNA
Rfam family: Bacterial small subunit ribosomal RNA
Source: RNAcentral